This is a long non-coding RNA of Carassius carassius (crucian carp), 1195 nucleotides long. RefSeq lists it as uncharacterized. The transcript has 2 exons. Lineage: Eukaryota; Metazoa; Chordata; Actinopteri; Cypriniformes; Cyprinidae. The record is from RefSeq and is a predicted model, not a curated record.
UGCAAUUAAAUUUAAAACAUGGAAGAAAUGUGUAAUUAAAAAAAUAAUGUUUGUUUCAUUCUAGUAGUAGUCGUCUGUACAAUCUACUGAACAAUAUAGUAAUAUACAUCUUUUACAGAUAUCUUCAAAUUACACCGGACUUUUAUUUUGAUGGGUUGCCGUGAAUAGCUUUGCAGUUCUCGUUUUACUCAAAUUAAAAGGUAAAAUGCCCGUGAAGUGACUUAGAUCACUUCUGGAGAUGAUGUUCAUGUAUUUAUUUCCUGAUUUAGUGAGAUGACAGAUGCUGAAAUCACAGCUAGCAUCACACACACUUCAGUAUGUGUGUAGUAAACAAAACCGCACGUCUGUGCCAUUCACACACAGACAAACAACAUGUAGAAUACAUAUUUAAAUAGUAUUUUUGCAGCUUGAUAUUUACAGAUACUAGUAGUUUGAAUUAGGUGUAAUGACCUACUUUUAAUUCAUUCAACAUUUUACAAAUUCUGUGACUUCCACGUUAUUCAGUAAAUUCCAUUUUUAUGACUGGAUUCCCUGAUUGUUUACGUUUUCCUGUCAUAGGGCCCUACUUUUGAUGCUUUAGUUACAGACAGUGUUAAUAGGAAUAUGGGAAUUGGCCUUUCCUUCCAAUAGGCUUUCAACUAUCAAUAAUAUAUCUCCAACUUUCAGAGGGCUUUUAAUGAGUAGAAUGUGUAAGAGAAACAUUUUUAUGGGAAUUCUCUCAUUUUGUUGUUAAAUGUAAAACCUGAUAUUUGUAUAUCAACAAGUUUAUGAUAUUAUUAAAACAAUACUUUUAACUAAGCAAAUAUGCUUUAUUUUGUAUUGAAAUUGUAUAAAUUGUUUUAAGUUUCUGAAGGCAAGUAUUUUCUUAAGUGAACCUUUUAGUCAAUCUCAUUUUUAACUCUUAAAGUCAACAUGAAAUCAAAAUGGACCCCUUCUACUUCCUUCAAUACACGUUAGUGUUUUUACUGUGCAUGUUAUUCUUAUUUUUUAUUUUAUUGUAAUAUUUAUCAAAUGUUAUUACUUGCUCCACCUCUAAAAUUGUCUUUGUUGGCACCACGGCCACCUACAUUUUGUCAUAUGAUUGCUGGUUGUGUUUUUAGGAGGGAAAUAGUCCUCCACUGACCUUCAAAUCUGACUUUGCCAUGACAUUUUUUCCCCUUCUUGACCAUUUGACUGCUAAAAUGUUUUAUGGGGG